CGGGGUAUAGCUCAGUUUGGCAGAGUGCUGCGUUCGGGACGCAGAGGCCGUCGGUUCAAAUCCGACUACCCCGA
This 74-nucleotide transfer RNA is filed under the name Candidatus Hadersleviella danica. RNAcentral describes it as "tRNA-Pro". It matches the Rfam family "tRNA". From Rfam's summary of the family: Transfer RNA (tRNA) molecules are approximately 80 nucleotides in length. Their secondary structure includes four short double-helical elements and three loops (D, anti-codon, and T loops). The record is from RNAcentral. Lineage: Bacteria; Bacillati; Chloroflexota; Ardenticatenia; Promineifilales (SeqCode); Promineifilaceae (SeqCode).